This 253-nucleotide ribosomal RNA is filed under the name uncultured prokaryote. RNAcentral's name for it is "partial 16S ribosomal RNA". It matches the Rfam family "Bacterial small subunit ribosomal RNA", at positions 524 to 776 of the family's 1533-position model. The record is from RNAcentral.
UACAGAGGUCCCAAGCGCUGUUCGGAUUCACUGGGCGUAAAGGGUGCGUAGGUGGUGAGGUAAGUCGGAUGUGAAAUCUCCGAGCUCAACUCGGAAAUGGCAUUGGAAACUACCUUGCUAGAGGGUUGGAGGGGGGACUGGAAUGCUUGGUGUAGCAGUGAAAUGCGUAGAUAUCGAGAGGAACACCUGCGGCGAAGGCGGGUUGCUGGGCCGACACUGACGCUGAUGCGCGAAAGCCAGGGGAGCGAACGGG